This 467-nucleotide ribosomal RNA is filed under the name uncultured bacterium. Its description in RNAcentral is "bacterial SSU rRNA". It matches the Rfam family "Bacterial small subunit ribosomal RNA", at positions 329 to 793 of the family's 1533-position model. The record is from RNAcentral.
UGCCAGACUCCUACGGGAGGCAGCAGUGAGGAAUAUUGGUCAAUGGGCUUACGCCUGAACCAGCCAAGUCGCGUGAGGGAAGACUGCCCUAUGGGUUGUAAACCUCUUUUGUCAGGGAGCAAUUGGCGCUACGUGUAGCGUUAUCGAGAGUACCUGAAGAAAAAGCAUCGGCUAACUCCGUGCCAGCAGCCGCGGUAAUACGGAGGAUGCGAGCGUUAUCCGGAUUUAUUGGGUUUAAAGGGUGCGUAGGCGGACGCUUAAGUCAGCGGUAAAAUUGCGGGGCUCAACCUCGUCGAGCCGUUGAAACUGGGUGCCUUGAGUGGGCGAGAAGUACGCGGAAUGCGUGGUGUAGCGGUGAAAUGCAUAGAUAUCACGCAGAACUCCGAUUGCGAAGGCAGCAUACCGGCGCCCGACUGACGCUGAAGCACGAAAGCGUGGGUAUCGAACAGGAUUAGAUACCCGUGUAA